UCACACAAAGCCUAUUUUGGUGGUCUCUUC
RNAcentral lists this non-coding RNA (30 nucleotides) under Homo sapiens (human). Lineage: Eukaryota; Metazoa; Chordata; Mammalia; Primates; Hominidae. The record is from RNAcentral.